This 900-nucleotide ribosomal RNA is filed under the name uncultured bacterium. RNAcentral describes it as "bacterial SSU rRNA". It matches the Rfam family "Bacterial small subunit ribosomal RNA", at positions 11 to 915 of the family's 1533-position model. The record is from RNAcentral.
GUUUGAUCCUGGCUCAGGAUGAACGCUAGCGGCAGGCCUAACACAUGCAAGUCGAGGGGUAGAAGUCUUCGGGCUUUGAGACCGGCGCACGGGUGCGUAACGCGUAUGCAAUCUACCUUGUACUGAGGGAUAGCCCAGAGAAAUUUGGAUUAAUACCUCAUAGUAUUUUCGAGUGACAUCACUUGAUUAUUAAAGUUCCAACGGUACAAGAUGAGCAUGCGUCCCAUUAGCUAGUUGGUAUGGUAACGGCAUACCAAGGCUAUGAUGGGUAGGGGUCCUGAGAGGGAGAUCCCCCACACUGGUACUGAGACACGGACCAGACUCCUACGGGAGGCAGCAGUGAGGAAUAUUGGUCAAUGGGCGAGAGCCUGAACCAGCCAUGCCGCGUGCAGGAUGAAGCAUCUAUGGUGUGUAAACUGCUUUUGUACAGGAAGAAACCCCGCUACGUGUAGCGGCUUGACGGUACUGUAAGAAUAAGGAUCGGCUAACUCCGUGCCAGCAGCCGCGGUAAUACGGAGGAUCCAAGCGUUAUCCGGAAUCAUUGGGUUUAAAGGGUCCGUAGGCGGUUUUAUAAGUCAGUGGUGAAAUCCGGCAGCUCAACUGUCGAACUGCCAUUGAUACUGUAGGACUUGAAUUAUUGUGAAGUAACUAGAAUAUGUAGUGUAGCGGUGAAAUGCUUAGAUAUUACAUGGAAUACCGAUUGCGAAGGCAGGUUACUAACAAUAUAUUGACGCUGAUGGACGAAAGCGUGGGGAGCGAACAGGAUUAGAUACCCUGGUAGUCCACGCCGUAAACGAUGGAUACUAGCUGUUUGAACGCAAGUUUGAGUGGCUAAGCGAAAGUGAUAAGUAUCCCACCUGGGGAGUACGGGCGCAAGCCUGAAACUCAAAGGAAUUGACG